Molecule: ribosomal RNA, 301 nt
Filed under: uncultured bacterium
Lineage: Bacteria
Description: partial 16S ribosomal RNA
Rfam family: Bacterial small subunit ribosomal RNA
Source: RNAcentral
CAGCCGCCGCGGUAAUACGAAGGGUGCAAGCGUUACUCGGAAUUACUGGGCGUAAAGCGUGCGUAGGUGGUGGUUUAAGUCUGUUGUGAAAUCCCCGGGCUCAACCUGGGAAUGGCAAUGGAUACUGGCAAGCUAGAGUGUGUCAGAGGAUGGUGGAAUUCCCGGUGUAGCGGUGAAAUGCGUAGAGAUCGGGAGGAACAUCAGUGGCGAAGGCGGCCAUCUGGGACAACACUGACGCUGAGGCACGAAAGCGUGGGGAGCAAACAGGAUUAGAUACCCCUGUAGUCCCUGUCUCUUAUAA